AUCGCUUCUCGGCCUUUUGGCUAAGAUCAUGUGUAGUAUCUGUUCUUAUCAGUUUAAUAUCUGAUACGUCCUCUAUCCAAUCCCAAAGAAGGGCAAUGCCAAAGAAUUUUCAAAUUAUCAUUCAGUUGCACUGAUU
Molecule: small nuclear RNA, 136 nt
Filed under: Cervus hanglu yarkandensis (Yarkand deer)
Lineage: Eukaryota; Metazoa; Chordata; Mammalia; Artiodactyla; Cervidae
Description: U2 spliceosomal RNA (ENSCHYG00000015569.1)
Rfam family: U2 spliceosomal RNA
About the family: U2 is a small nuclear RNA (snRNA) component of the spliceosome (involved in pre-mRNA splicing).
Source: RNAcentral